Molecule: ribosomal RNA, 463 nt
Filed under: uncultured bacterium
Lineage: Bacteria
Description: bacterial SSU rRNA
Rfam family: Bacterial small subunit ribosomal RNA
Source: RNAcentral
GAUGAACGCUAGCGACAGGCUUAACACAUGCAAGUCGAGGGGCAGCGGGGGUGCAGGCUUGCCUGCACCUGCCGGCGACCGGCGCACGGGUGAGUAACACGUAUGGAACCUGCCCGCCACAGGGGGAUAACCCGGGGAAACCCGGCCUAAUACCCCAUGCCGCCCGGACCGGGCAUCCGGUCCGGGCGAAAGGAGUAAUCCGGUGGCGGCUGGGCAUGCGGCGCAUUAGCUUGACGGCGGGGUAACGGCCCACCGUGGCGACGAUGCGUAGGGGUUCUGAGAGGAAGGCCCCCCACACUGGAACUGAGACACGGUCCAGACUCCUACGGGAGGCAGCAGUGAGGAAUAUUGGUCAAUGGGCGGAAGCCUGAACCAGCCAAGUCGCGUGAGGGAAUAAGGCCCUACGGGUCGUAAACCUCUUUUGCCGGGGAGCAAGGGCCGGGACGCGUCCCGGCCCGGAGAG